GAGGGUAUAGUUUUAAUAGGUAAAAUAUCAUUUUGUCAAGAUGAUUGUUGCGGGUUCGAGCCCCGUUGCUCUCG
RNAcentral lists this transfer RNA (74 nucleotides) under Nephromyces sp. ex Molgula occidentalis. Its description in RNAcentral is "tRNA-Asp". It matches the Rfam family "tRNA". Rfam says of the family: Transfer RNA (tRNA) molecules are approximately 80 nucleotides in length. Their secondary structure includes four short double-helical elements and three loops (D, anti-codon, and T loops). The record is from RNAcentral. Lineage: Eukaryota; Apicomplexa; Aconoidasida; Nephromycida.